GGGAGGACAGGGUGGAAACAGUUGAAAUUUUUCUACUUAUUUUACACCCAGUAGGAGAUAAUAAAAUUAUACUGCUUUCAUUGGGCAGGGCUCUUGUGCUCAGGUGGGAAUUAUUUAUUUCUUAUUUUGGCCAAGAGAAUGAAGUGAUGGUGGAUUAUAGUUUUUGUUCCACGCAGCACUCUGGCACAGUACUUGUUUUUAUGCCUUUUCUCCCCCUUUCAGCAGCCCAGUCCCUAUCAAGAGUUCAAGACAUUUUUGUGCUUUGUGUUUUUUUUUAAGAGCAAAAUUUUGCUUUGACCAACUCACCUCUGCAGCCUAAUGUGAUUAAUAAUAUUGUGCUUAUUAAAUGAAAUUCCAUUUAUAGAUCAGAAGUUUAUUGGGAUGGAUGUAAGUUUUCUUCCUCUGAAUCUAUAGUACAUGUUGCUGAGGAGGAUGAAGAAGCCAGGUAUCAAUGAGAUUCCUGUCAGAACUGGCAAUAGUUAGGAGAGUAGGGACUCAAGGGUGAGAGUAAAGAACUAGGAAGAAGAUCCAGAAAGAUGAGAUAAGGAGAAAGUGGAGGGGAAAUAAUAGAGUAUCACACCUACCCUUUCCCUCACCCCCUUCAGAAGCUUUGAAAAAGAAUACAAGCUAAAGAAAAAAAAACACAUUUGGAAAAAUAAAAAACUCUAAUAAACUUCUUCAAAAGCAUGCUUAUGAACAACAUUGUGCUUUGGGGUCUAUUUAGUACAGGAUUUAAGCCAGAUCUCCCGUUCUUCAAGGUUAGUCAGUAAUCCAACUAUUUUGGGGGAGGUUUGUGCUACAUCACAUCCCUUUGAGAGGAAGUCACUUCUCUACUGAAUUACCAAGUUGUGAAACUGCUCUCAUCCAACAGUGGAUAGAGUGCUGGGCUUGGAGUUCAAACCCUGCCUCAGACACUUCCUAGGGAUAAUAAUAGCACCCACUUCCCAAGUUGGUUGUGAGAAUCAAAUGAGAAUUGUAAAGGGCUCAGUCACAAAAAGGGCUGUACAAAUGUUUGCUGUUUUUAUUAUCUACUCUAAUCCCCACUGAAAAGGCAUCUCCCUCUACCAUCACCCACAGACAGACAUCCUCAGAGCUGUACCUAGCCAUCUGGGCACUCACUGCAAGGACUGUGAGAGAGAACUGGACACUUAUGGCCCAAG
Molecule: long non-coding RNA, 1160 nt
Filed under: Sarcophilus harrisii (Tasmanian devil)
Lineage: Eukaryota; Metazoa; Chordata; Mammalia; Dasyuromorphia; Dasyuridae
Description: lncRNA (ENSSHAG00000021884.1)
Source: RNAcentral